CUAACUCCGUGCCAGCAGCCGCGGUAAUACGGGAGUGGCAAGCGUUAUCCGGAAUUAUUGGGCGUAAAGCGUCCGCAGGCGGCCCUACAAGUCUGCUGUUAAAAAGUGGAGCUUAACUCCAUCAUGGCAGUGGAAACUGUUGGGCUUGAGUGUGAUAGGGGCAGAGGGAAUUCCCGGUGUAGCGGUGAAAUGCGUAGAUAUCGGGAAGAACACCAGUGGCGAAGGCGCUCUGCUGGGCCAUCACUGACGCUCAUGGACGAAAGCCAGGGGAGCGAAAGGGAUUAGAUACCCCUGUAGUCCUGGCCGUAAACGAUGAACACUAGGUGUCGGGGGAAUCGACCCCUCCGGUGUCGUAGCCAACGCGUUAAGUGUUCCGCCUGGGGAGUACGUCCGCAAGACUAA
This 402-nucleotide ribosomal RNA is filed under the name Candidatus Scalindua wagneri. Its description in RNAcentral is "bacterial SSU rRNA". It matches the Rfam family "Bacterial small subunit ribosomal RNA", at positions 497 to 897 of the family's 1533-position model. The record is from RNAcentral. Lineage: Bacteria; Pseudomonadati; Planctomycetota; Candidatus Brocadiia; Candidatus Brocadiales; Candidatus Scalinduaceae.